UGUUUGGACUGGAGAAGGGAGGCGGCGGGCGAAGCGCACGUCGAGCGGGGGAGCGGCGCUGCCUGUGGAGAUCCGCGGAGGCCGACAGGAUUCGUUGGCUGCCGUCCCCGCUGCUGUGCAUUGGGUUAAAAACGACAACCAACAUCAGCCAUGAAAGAUCCAAGUCGCAGCAGUACUAGCCCAAGCAUCAUCAAUGAAGAUGUGAUUAUUAACGGUCAUUCUCAUGAAGAUGACAAUCCAUUUGCAGAGUACAUGUGGAUGGAAAAUGAAGAAGAAUUCAACAGACAAAUAGAAGAGGAGUUAUGGGAAGAAGAAUUUAUUGAACGCUGUUUCCAAGAAAUGCUGGAAGAGGAAGAAGAGCAUGAAUGGUUUAUUCCAGCUCGAGAUCUCCCACAAACUAUGGACCAAAUCCAAGACCAGUUUAAUGACCUUGUUAUCAGUGAUGGCUCUUCUCUGGAAGAUCUUGUGGUAAAAAGUUAUUUUUCAUCUUUUUAAAACCUAGUGCAUCUUUUGCAUAAGUGGAAAAGCCAGCUCCCAUCUAUUUAAGAAUUCUACAUCUCUUUCCCCUUCAGAAAUUGUGCUGCUUCUGGCCGGGCAUAUGGCUCACGCCUGUAAUCCCAGCACUUUGGGAGGCCGAGGCAGGCAGUUGACUUGAGGUCAGGAGUUUGAGACCAGCCUGACCAACAUGGAGAAACCCCAUCUCUACUAAAAAUAAAAAAUUAGCCGGGCAUGGUAGCACAUGCCUGUGAUCCCAGCUACUCGGGAGGCUGAGGCAGGAGAAUCGCUUGAACCCGGGAGACGGAAGUUGUGGUGAG
RNAcentral lists this small RNA (815 nucleotides) under Pan troglodytes (chimpanzee). RNAcentral describes it as "retained intron". The record is from RNAcentral. Lineage: Eukaryota; Metazoa; Chordata; Mammalia; Primates; Hominidae.